Molecule: microRNA, 20 nt
Filed under: Gossypium hirsutum (cotton)
Lineage: Eukaryota; Viridiplantae; Streptophyta; Magnoliopsida; Malvales; Malvaceae
Also listed under: 1 other name
Description: ghr-miR156c
Gene: ghr-miR156c
Source: miRBase by way of RNAcentral
UGUCAGAAGAGAGUGAGCAC